AUGUGCCACGUCCACCCUGCGAUGCCCCCAGAUCUUCCCUCUUGCCACCUUCUCCCAGCGUGUGAUUGGGGGAGGGCACCGUGCUCUCUUCCCGCCUCAGCUCUGAGCACAGAGCCGGGGGCCGUUGCUCCAGAGACCAGGAGGCGCCCGAGGAUGGGGCGUCUGGCUCCAGCAGUCAGCCCUGACUUCCGGGACUCACCCCUGGGUGCCCACCCCCCGCACAUCGAUGUCGAUGGACGGAAGGGCCUCCCGGCCUUGCCCAGUAGCGUCCACAGUGUCCUUGGUGUCUGGGGUGGGAGGCCAGGCCUUGUGACUUCUCCACAGGCCCCCUCGCCCCCCAGCCUGUGUCCAGUCCUGGCCUUGGCUCUUCCUGUCUCCCUCCCACAGCGGCUCAUGGAGGUGUUGACCUCAGACAGCAGGUGUGCCGUGGUGAGGCCCACGGGCCUCUGCCCCCUGUGGCCGUGUCUGCUGAGCGCCGUGUCUGCGCGGGGAUGCCGCAUGUUCCUUAGCGUCCGGCCUGGCCCUAUGGCUCGAGCCGGGGGAGCAUGCCGAUGGGGUUCCCACAGCCUUUGGAGGGGCUCUGUGACCCUGCACCCCUCCCCCGGCUCACCCACACAUGGUCUCAUGUGCAGCAGACUGCCAACAUCACAUCUGUGGCCAGGGCAGGACUGCAGGCCCCGUGUGACCGUGUCGGCCGCCACUCUGUCCUGGCCUCGUCCGUGGGCCUCCGGGGCUCCCGGCUCUCGGGGUGCGCUCCAUUCCCCUUCCCAGCGGUCACACUGCCUUUGCUUCUGCUGGAGUCUGGUGCAGCCCGCGUGGCACUCGGUGGCUUCGAGGGUGGCGUGGGUUUGUGACCUCUGUCCUAGCAGAGAGCUGACCACAGAGCUGAGGCGGGGACCUGGGGCGUGGCAGUGGGGGAGGGGCGGGGUCACCCCUCCUCCUGCCGGGUUUGGUGUCCUGAGGACCAGCCUUCAGGGUGGGGGGCGUGCCCAUGGCCUGCAAGCGAUGGAGGCCAGCCUGGGCAGCCACGCCCCAGGCUCCCAGGUCUGCCCCUGGGGUGGGGCGCUCAUGCAUCCCGGGGUCUGGUGGGCUGGCCUCACUGCACGCUCUAGCAGCAGUGGGUGUGAGAAGGCCUCUCGGGGAAUCUUUGCUUCCUUAGCCCUUCUUCACCACCUCAGUGGCAGCAGUGGACAAGACAGGGGACAGGUCUGA
Molecule: long non-coding RNA, 1212 nt
Filed under: Cervus hanglu yarkandensis (Yarkand deer)
Lineage: Eukaryota; Metazoa; Chordata; Mammalia; Artiodactyla; Cervidae
Description: lncRNA (ENSCHYG00000021108.1)
Source: RNAcentral